This 722-nucleotide ribosomal RNA is filed under the name uncultured bacterium. Its description in RNAcentral is "bacterial SSU rRNA". It matches the Rfam family "Bacterial small subunit ribosomal RNA", at positions 777 to 1497 of the family's 1533-position model. The record is from RNAcentral.
AUUAGAUACCCUGGGUAGUCCAUGCCGUAAACGAUGAGUGCUAGGUGUUGGAGGGUUUCCGCCCUUCAGUGCCGGAGCUAACGCAUUAAGCACUCCGCCUGGGGAGUACGACCGCAAGGUUGAAACUCAAAGGAAUUGACGGGGGCCCGCACAAGCGGUGGAGCAUGUGGUUUAAUUCGAAGCUACGCGAAGAACCUUACCAGGUCUUGACAUCUUGCGCUAACCUUAGAGAUAAGGCGUUCCCUUCGGGGACGCAAUGACAGGUGGUGCAUGGUCGUCGUCAGCUCGUGUCGUGAGAUGUUGGGUUAAGUCCCGCAACGAGCGCAACCCUUGUUACUAGUUGCCAGCAUUAAGUUGGGCACUCUAGUGGGACUGCCGGUGACAAACCGGAGGAAGGUGGGGACGACGUCAGAUCAUCAUGCCCCUUAUGACCUGGGCUACACACGUGCUACAAUGGACGGUACAACGAGUCGCGAGCUCGCGAGAGUAAGCUAAUCUCUUAAAGCCGUUCUCAGUUCGGACUGUAGGCUGCAACUCGCCUACACGAAGUCGGAAUCGCUAGUAAUCGCGGAUCAGCAUGCCGCGGUGAAUACGUUCCCGGGCCUUGUACACACCGCCCGUCACACCAUGGGAGUUUGUAACGCCCAAAGUCGGUGGCCUAACCUUUAUGGAGGGAGCCGCCUAAGGCGGGACAGAUGACUGGGGUGAAGUCGUAACAAGGU